RNAcentral lists this ribosomal RNA (716 nucleotides) under uncultured Bacilli bacterium. RNAcentral describes it as "bacterial SSU rRNA". It matches the Rfam family "Bacterial small subunit ribosomal RNA", at positions 52 to 739 of the family's 1533-position model. The record is from RNAcentral. Lineage: Bacteria; Bacillati; Bacillota; Bacilli.
UACAUGCAAGUCGAACGCUUCUUUCCUCCCGAGUGCUUGCACUCAAUUGGAAAGAGGAGUGGCGGACGGGUGAGUAACACGUGGGUAACCUACCCAUCAGAGGGGGAUAACACUUGGAAACAGGUGCUAAUACCGCAUAACAGUUUAUGUCGCAUGGCAUAAGAGUGAAAGGCGCUUUCGGGUGUCGCUGAUGGAUGGACCCGCGGUGCAUUAGCUAGUUGGUGAGGUAACGGCUCACCAAGGCCACGAUGCAUAGCCGACCUGAGAGGGUGAUCGGCCACACUGGGACUGAGACACGGCCCAGACUCCUACGGGAGGCAGCAGUAGGGAAUCUUCGGCAAUGGACGAAAGUCUGACCGAGCAACGCCGCGUGAGUGAAGAAGGUUUUCGGAUCGUAAAACUCUGUUGUUAGAGAAGAACAAGGACGUUAGUAACUGAACGUCCCCUGACGGUAUCUAACCAGAAAGCCACGGCUAACUACGUGCCAGCAGCCGCGGUAAUACGUAGGUGGCAAGCGUUGUCCGGAUUUAUUGGGCGUAAAGCGAGCGCAGGCGGUUUCUUAAGUCUGAUGUGAAAGCCCCCGGCUCAACCGGGGAGGGUCAUUGGAAACUGGGAGACUUGAGUGCAGAAGAGGAGAGUGGAAUUCCAUGUGUAGCGGUGAAAUGCGUAGAUAUAUGGAGGAACACCAGUGGCGAAGGCGGCUCUCUGGUCUGUAA